GAAGAAGAACGUAGCGAAAUGCGAUACGUAAUGUGAAUUGCAGAAUUCAGUGAAUCAUCGAGUCUUUGAACGCACAUUGCGCCCCCUGGUAUUCCGGGGGGCAUGCCUGUCCGAGCGUCAUUGCUGCCCUCAAGCACGGCUUGUGUGUUGGGCCUCCGUCCUCCUCCCGGGGGACGGGCCCGAAAGGCAGCGGCGGCACCGCGUCCGGUCCUCGAGCGUAUGGGGCUUCGUCACCCGCUCUUGUAGGCCCGGCCGGCGCUUGCCGACACAUCAAUCUUUUUUCCAGGUUGACCUCGGAUCAGGUAGGGAUACCCGCUGAACUUAAGCAUAUCAAUAAGCGGAGGA
Molecule: unclassified non-coding RNA, 345 nt
Filed under: soil metagenome
Description: partial contains 5.8S ribosomal RNA, internal transcribed spacer 2, and large subunit ribosomal RNA
Rfam family: 5.8S ribosomal RNA (bases 1-120)
Source: RNAcentral